This 1475-nucleotide ribosomal RNA is filed under the name invertebrate metagenome. RNAcentral's name for it is "bacterial LSU rRNA". It matches the Rfam family "Bacterial large subunit ribosomal RNA", at positions 547 to 2011 of the family's 2925-position model. The record is from RNAcentral.
AACCUGAAACCAUGUGCCUACAAGCGGUCGGAGCACUAUGGCUCUUUGAGCAAUGUGUGACGGCGUGCCUUUUGCAUAAUGAUCCGGCGAGUUACCGUCGGCGGCUUGGUUAAGGCCUUUCGGGCCGGAGCCAUAGGGAAACCGAGUCUUAAUAGGGCGAACAUUGUCGUCGGUGGUAGACGCGAAACUGCGUGAUCUACCCAUGAGCAGGUUGAAGCGCGAGUUAUAUCGCGUGGAGGACCGAACCCACUUGGGUUGAAAACCGAGGGGAUGACUUGUGGGGAGGAGUGAAAGUCUAAUCAAACCUGGAGAUAGCUCGUUCUCUCCGAAAUAGCUUUAGGGCUAGCCUCGAGCCACUACGCACUGGGGGUAGAGAUACUGAAUCGGUUUGGGGCCCUUCCCGGGGUACCCUGCUGAACCAAACUCCGAAUACCAGUGCGAUUAUCUCGGGAGUCAGUCCGCGGGGGAUAAGCUCCGCGGUCGAGAGGGAAACAACCCAGACCAUCUGCUAAGGUCCCGAAGCAAGUCUUAGUCACUAAGGAAGUUGAAUUGCGGUGACAGCCAGGAUGUUGGCUUAGAAGCAGCCAUCAUUUAAAAAGUGCGUAACAGCUUACUGGUCGAGCAAUUCAGCGCCGAUAAUGAACGGGAGUAAGUCUUGCACCGAAGCAGUGGAUGACGCGUAAGCGUCGUGGUAGGAGAGCGCUGUAGAUCAGACACGAGUCGUACCGUAAGGAGCGAUGUUGGGGUCUACAGGUGAUUAUGCCGGAAUGAGUAACGAUAAAGCAGGUGAGAAUCCUGCUCGCCGAAAGCCUAAGGUUUCCUGGGGAAGGCAAUUCCGCCCAGGGUUAGCCGGUGCCUUAGUCGAGGCCGAAAGGCGUAGACGAUGGAUAGCAGGUUAAUAUUCCUGCGCCGCAGUAGUGGACCGAUGGAGGGACGGCGUCCCAACGGUGAUCAGCCGAGUAGAAAUGGCUGUAGGGCGUUGCAAGGUGGCGGGAUAGGUAAAUCCACCCGCAUAAUCCAAGCGACGAACUCGAGGACAUUUAUGAUUCUGAAGUCAUUAGAGGGACGUCCAAGAAAAGCUUCUAAGGGUUGAAACUAUUGCGACCGUACUAAAACUGACACAGGUAGGCGAGACGAGAAGUCUAAGGCGCUCGGGAGAACACUAGUUAAGGAACUCUGCAAAAUGACCCCGUAAGUUCGCGAUAAGGGGUGCCCUCGGCGGUUCACGCUGCUGGGGGCCACAGUAAAUCGGCUUCUGCGACUGUUUAUCAAAAACAUAGGACUCUGCUAACUCGCAAGAGGAUGUAUAGAGUCUGACGCCUGCCCGGUGCCGGUAGGUUAAGGAAGAGGGUUAGCCUUCGGGCGAAGCUCGCGACCGAAGCCCAUGUAAACGGCGGCCGUAACUAUGACGGUCCUAAUGUAGCGAAGUUCCUUGUCGGGUAAGUUCCGACCUGCAUGAAAGGCGUAACGACAGC